CUAAGCCUUGAACGUUGUGUGACCAGGAUCCUGAGGCUGUAUGAACCUCUGGCCAGCUACUACAAAUCUGCUAAUGAAAAUCAGGCCAGGUUCAAGAGACUUGUGCAGACAUUCACUGUCCCCAUGACAGAAGUGUACCUGCUGUUCUUCCAAGCCACCGUACCAACUUUCACUUCUUUCAACUUGCUGCUUCAGAGAGAGCAGUCAUCAAUAUUUUUGUUACAUGAUGAGAUGGUGAAAUUCGUACGCAAGCUAUGUUCCAAGUUUAUGGUUCCAGCAGCUCUGCAGUGCCAUGAGGAGCCUUGUGAAAUUGCCUUUGAAGAAAAGGCAAACCAUUUACCAGAUUACUCGACGAGGGUGACAUCACACCACAGCAGGUGGAU
Long non-coding RNA from Coregonus clupeaformis (lake whitefish), 383 nucleotides. RefSeq lists it as uncharacterized. Lineage: Eukaryota; Metazoa; Chordata; Actinopteri; Salmoniformes; Salmonidae. The record is from RefSeq and is a predicted model, not a curated record. The transcript has 4 exons.